This 73-nucleotide transfer RNA is filed under the name Stegodyphus mimosarum. It matches the Rfam family "tRNA". Rfam says of the family: Transfer RNA (tRNA) molecules are approximately 80 nucleotides in length. The record is from Rfam by way of RNAcentral. Lineage: Eukaryota; Metazoa; Arthropoda; Arachnida; Araneae; Eresidae.
GCCUUCGUGGUGUAAUGGUCAGCAUGCUCGACGCGUAACCGAGAGAUCCGUGGUUCGAUUCCAGGCGAAGGCG